AAGAAAUAAAGGGCAAAGACUUUAAGCCACUUGUCUGAAGUUGCACUGUUAGUGAAAUUUAAUAAUAGUAGCAAACAUUUGUUGAGCCGUUUUGCUAAGUACUUCAAAUGGAUUAUAUCAUUUUAUUGUCACAGGAGCCUAUGAGGUUGGUCCUAUUUUUACUCUCACUUAUCCCUACUUACCAGAUGAGGAUCCUGAGGCUCAGAAAAACUCUUGACAAAAUUCUCAGGGAAAACUCUUCAGCUCUGGAUGUCUCCCUUUUUGUGGAUCAAACACAAAGGGCAUCAUUCUAAAAUAUAUACAGAACCAUAAAAGCCCCAAAUAGCCAAAGCAACCCUGAGCAAAAAGAACAAGGCUGGAAGCAUCACACUACCAGACUUCAAAAUUUACUACAAAGCUCUAAUACCUAAAAUAACAUGGUACUGGCAUUAAA
Homo sapiens (human) is the source of this 433-nucleotide long non-coding RNA. Ensembl annotates it as RAB33B antisense RNA 1. Its record names the gene RAB33B-AS1. NCBI's taxonomy places the organism in Eukaryota, Metazoa, Chordata, Mammalia, Primates, Hominidae. The record is from Ensembl.